CCUACGGGUGGCAGCAGUGGGGAAUUUUGGACAAUGGGGGCAACCCUGAUCCAGCCAUGCCGCGUGCGGGAAGAAGGCCUUCGGGUUGUAAACCGCUUUUGGUCGGGAAGCGGUACCGGCAGAAUAAGCACCGGCUAACUACGUGCCAGCAGCCGCGGUAAUACGUAGGGUGCGAGCGUUAAUCGGAAUUACUGGGCGUAAAGCGUGCGCAGGCGGUUGGUUAAGUCUGAUGUGAAAGCCCCGGGCUCAACUUGGGAAUGGCAUUGGAAACUGGCUGGCUAGAGUGUGGCAGAGGGGGGUGGAAUUCCGCGUGUAGCAGUGAAAUGCGUAGAGAUGCGGAGGAACACCGAUGGCGAAGGCAGCCCCCUGGGCUAGACUGACGCUCAGGCACGAAAGCGUGGGGAGCAAACAGGAUUAGAUACCCUUGUAGUC
RNAcentral lists this ribosomal RNA (432 nucleotides) under uncultured bacterium. Its description in RNAcentral is "partial 16S ribosomal RNA". It matches the Rfam family "Bacterial small subunit ribosomal RNA", at positions 338 to 795 of the family's 1533-position model. The record is from RNAcentral.